This 462-nucleotide ribosomal RNA is filed under the name uncultured bacterium. Its description in RNAcentral is "partial 16S ribosomal RNA". It matches the Rfam family "Bacterial small subunit ribosomal RNA", at positions 28 to 507 of the family's 1533-position model. The record is from RNAcentral.
GACGAACGCUGGCGGCGUGCUUAACACAUGCAAGUCGAACGGAAAGGCCCUGCUUUUGUGGGGUGCUCGAGUGGCGAACGGGUGAGUAACACGUGAGUAACCUGCCCUUGACUUUGGGAUAACUUCAGGAAACUGGGGCUAAUACCGGAUAGGAGCUCCUGCUGCAUGGUGGGGGUUGGAAAGUUUCGGCGGUUGGGGAUGGACUCGCGGCUUAUCAGCUUGUUGGUGGGGUAGUGGCUUACCAAGGCUUUGACGGGUAGCCGGCCUGAGAGGGUGACCGGCCACAUUGGGACUGAGAUACGGCCCAGACUCCUACGGGAGGCAGCAGUGGGGAAUAUUGCACAAUGGGCGGAAGCCUGAUGCAGCGACGCCGCGUGAUUUAGAAGGCCUUCGGGUUGUAAAAAUCUUUUGUAUAGGAAGAAAAUGACAGUACUAGACGAAUAAGGUCCGGCUAAUUACGUG